GUCCAGACUCCUACGGGAGGCAGCAGUGGGGAAUAUUGCACAAUGGGGGAAACCCUGAUGCAGCAACGCCGCGUGGGUGAAGGAGCGUUUCGGCGCGUAAAGCCCUGUCAGCGGGGAAGAAGAAAGACGGUACCCGACCAAGAAGCCCCGGCUAACUACGUGCCAGCAGCCGCGGUAAUACGUAGGGGGCAAGCGUUAUCCGGAUUUACUGGGUGUAAAGGGAGCGUAGACGGUUACGCAAGUCUGGAGUGAAAGGCGGGGGCCCAACCCCCGGACUGCUUUGGAAACUGUAUAACUGGAGUGCAGGAGGGGUAAGUGGAAUUCCUAGUGUAGCGGUGAAAUGCGUAGAUAUUAGGAGGAACACCAGUGGCGAAGGCGGCUUACUGGACUGUAACUGACGUUGAGGCUCGAAAGCGUGGGGAGCAAACAGGAUUAGAUACCCGGGUAG
This 448-nucleotide ribosomal RNA is filed under the name uncultured bacterium. Its description in RNAcentral is "bacterial SSU rRNA". It matches the Rfam family "Bacterial small subunit ribosomal RNA", at positions 329 to 793 of the family's 1533-position model. The record is from RNAcentral.